Molecule: transfer RNA, 73 nt
Filed under: Chrysochromulina tobinii
Lineage: Eukaryota; Haptophyta; Prymnesiales; Chrysochromulinaceae
Description: Chrysochromulina sp. CCMP291 tRNA
Rfam family: tRNA
About the family: Transfer RNA (tRNA) molecules are approximately 80 nucleotides in length. Their secondary structure includes four short double-helical elements and three loops (D, anti-codon, and T loops).
Source: Rfam by way of RNAcentral
UUCCCUAUAGUCUAGUUGGUUAGGAUAACCCGCUUUCACCGGGUCGACCUGGGUUCGAGUCCCAGUGGGGAAA